GCGGGUGUAGUUGAGUGGUUCAACGCCACCUUCCCAAGGUGGUAACGGGGGUUCGAUUCCCCUCACCCGCUCCA
RNAcentral lists this transfer RNA (74 nucleotides) under candidate division WWE3 bacterium CG_4_9_14_0_2_um_filter_48_10. Its description in RNAcentral is "tRNA-Gly". It matches the Rfam family "tRNA". Rfam says of the family: Transfer RNA (tRNA) molecules are approximately 80 nucleotides in length. Their secondary structure includes four short double-helical elements and three loops (D, anti-codon, and T loops). RNAcentral also lists the same sequence under 1 other name. Lineage: Bacteria; candidate division WWE3. The record is from RNAcentral.